Non-coding RNA from Cyanistes caeruleus (blue tit), 1365 nucleotides. The record is from RefSeq and is a predicted model, not a curated record. NCBI's taxonomy places the organism in Eukaryota, Metazoa, Chordata, Aves, Passeriformes, Paridae.
CUGCAGUCCAUCCUCAGAAAAGCUUCAAGUGCAUUUUAAAAUUUUAAUUUAUUAUGGUCUAUAUAUUUAUCACACAUAUAGAAAUGCUUCUCUUCAUGUUAGCUUUCCAUGAUUUCUACUGAGCAAACUUUGCUCUUCUGUUGUUUUGUUUUGUUUUUUUUUCUGAGCCAUAUGUUAAGGGGAAGUUUAGGUCAGACAGUAGAAAAAGAUUCUUCCCACAGGGGUGGGGAGGCUGUUGGGUAUUGCCCAGGUUCCCCAGGGAAUGGACACAUGCCCAAGGCUCCCAGAGCUCCAGGGGAGCUGGGAAAUGCUCUCAGGGAUGCACAGGGUAGGAUUGUUGGGGUGUCUGGGCAGGGCCAGAAGCUGGGCUUUGAUGAUCUCUGUGGGUUUCUUCCAGCCCAGGAUAUUUUAUUCCCUUGUCCCAGUUUUGCACCUCACUCAGUGAUUUAAUAACAGGCAAUGAAGAGCUGUGUAUUGCUGACUGUAGUAACUGUAAAUAUUACAGACAAAUAGUUCCACAUUCCUCUUGUGUUCAGUUCUGUCACUAUCCAAGCAGGCAGCUCCCAUGGCAGCAGGGAUGCCCCAGAGAAUGCACUGGAAUGGAGGGCACCUGGGAACACUGGUGAGAAACUCUGGAUCCUCAUCAUGAGGUGGGUUGUUUAUUUGGAGGUUGGAAUACAGUUUAUGGCAUCAUUCCUUUUCUGAGACUGAAAUGAAAAUAAAAUAUCAAAUUAACCACAGGCUAAUUCAAUUAACAAAAUAAAUUGAGGUGGAUGAGAUGGGCUUUGAAGAACCCGAGUCUUCAGCAGAGAGAUUUAUUUCUCUGCUGAACAUCUGUCAGUAAUUACUGUCUGAGCAUCGGUAGCUUCUGGUCACAGACUCUCUGCUGGCUGUUCCUAACACAACCCCAUGGUGACCUUAGACUGAUGAGACUGAGCUCCAUUUCUCUGCUCCUGAUGAGGUGUUAUAAUUCCUGUGUGGUAGUAUUCUGAAUAUCUGCUGAAGGGAGCUUUUCCUCAUGUGUGGUUCUGUUUUCCCCAAGGGACUCACCUUCACAGUGCUUAUUAUGCGUCACCCAGGUGAACAUGUAGAAACCCACCCUGUAUCUGCCAGGUGUCAGCUGCAGUCACCUCCUUCAGAUGCCUGAAACACCUCUGCCAGAUGAGCUGGACCUCAGCAACUCAGUCUGCUGCUUUUCUUUUUAUUUUUUUGCAACACUUUGUUUAUGAUACCACAUCAUAAAGAUAUGUGAUGUCAUGGUGCUAAAAGGAGACUGCAAAAAAAGCAGGUGAAGGUUAAGGAAGAGUGAAAAUUCAGCUGCGGUGAAUAAACUCAGUGAGUCCUAAUGGGGCUGUUCCUCUAAAA